Molecule: ribosomal RNA, 254 nt
Filed under: uncultured bacterium
Lineage: Bacteria
Description: partial 16S ribosomal RNA
Rfam family: Bacterial small subunit ribosomal RNA
Source: RNAcentral
UACGGGGGGAGCAAGCGUUGUUCGGAUUUACUGGGCGUAAAGGGCGCGUAGGCGGCCACCGCAAGUCGACUGUGAAAUCUCCGGGCUUAACCCGGAAAGGUCAGCCGAUACUGCGGGGCUAGAGUGCAGGAGGGGCAACUGGAAUUCUCGGUGUAGCGGUGAAAUGCGUAGAUAUCGAGAGGAACACCGGUGGCGAAGGCGGCCCCCUGGUUGGAUACUGACGCUGAGACGCGAAAGCGUGGGGAGCAAACAGG